This 1148-nucleotide ribosomal RNA is filed under the name Lactobacillus sp. 151B7_12ER2A. RNAcentral's name for it is "bacterial SSU rRNA". It matches the Rfam family "Bacterial small subunit ribosomal RNA", at positions 53 to 1167 of the family's 1533-position model. Lineage: Bacteria; Bacillati; Bacillota; Bacilli; Lactobacillales; Lactobacillaceae. The record is from RNAcentral.
ACAUGCAAGUCGAACGAACUCUGGUAUUGAUUGGUGCUUGCAUCAUGAUUUACAUUUGAGUGAGUGGCGAACUGGUGAGUAACACGUGGGAAACCUGCCCAGAAGCGGGGGAUAACACCUGGAAACAGAUGCUAAUACCGCAUAACAACUUGGACCGCAUGGUCCGAGWUUGAAAGAUGGCUUCGGCUAUCACUUUUGGAUGGUCCCGCGGCGUAUUAGCUAGAUGGUGRGGUAACGGCUCACCAUGGCAAUGAUACGUAGCCGACCUGAGAGGGUAAUCGGCCACAUUGGGACUGAGACACGGCCCAAACUCCUACGGGAGGCAGCAGUAGGGAAUCUUCCACAAUGGACGAAAGUCUGAUGGAGCAACGCCGCGUGAGUGAAGAAGGGUUUCGGCUCGUAAAACUCUGUUGUUAAAGAAGAACAUAUCUGAGAGUAACUGUUCAGGUAUUGACGGUAUUUAACCAGAAAGCCACGGCUAACUACGUGCCAGCAGCCGCGGUAAUACGUAGGUGGCAAGCGUUGUCCGGAUUUAUUGGGCGUAAAGCGAGCGCAGGCGGUUUUUUAAGUCUGAUGUGAAAGCCUUCGGCUCAACCGAAGAAGUGCAUCGGAAACUGGGAAACUUGAGUGCAGAAGAGGACAGUGGAACUCCAUGUGUAGCGGUGAAAUGCGUAGAUAUAUGGAAGAACACCAGUGGCGAAGGCGGCUGUCUGGUCUGUAACUGACGCUGAGGCUCGAAAGUAUGGGUAGCAAACAGGAUUAGAUACCCUGGUAGUCCAUACCGUAAACGAUGAAUGCUAAGUGUUGGAGGGUUUCCGCCCUUCAGUGCUGCAGCUAACGCAUUAAGCAUUCCGCCUGGGGAGUACGGCCGCAAGGCUGAAACUCAAAGGAAUUGACGGGGGCCCGCACAAGCGGUGGAGCAUGUGGUUUAAUUCGAAGCUACGCGAAGAACCUUACCAGGUCUUGACAUACUAUGCAAAUCUAAGAGAUUAGACGUUCCCUUCGGGGACAUGGAUACAGGUGGUGCAUGGUUGUCGUCAGCUCGUGUCGUGAGAUGUUGGGUUAAGUCCCGCAACGAGCGCAACCCUUAUUAUCAGUUGCCAGCAUUAAGUUGGGCACUCUGGUGAGACUGCCGGUGACAAACCGGA